UACGGAGGAUGCGAGCGUUAUCCGGAUUUAUUGGGUUUAAAGGGUGCGCAGGCGGAGGCACAAGUCAGCGGUAAAAUCGCGGGGCUCAACCCCGCUCCGCCGUUGAAACUGUGUCCCUUGAGUUCGCGAAGGGUAGGCGGAAUGCGUGGUGUAGCGGUGAAAUGCAUAGAUAUCACGCAGAACUCCGAUCGCGAAGGCAGCCUACCGGCGCGCGACUGACGCUCAUGCACGAAAGCGUGGGUAUCGAACAGG
This 252-nucleotide ribosomal RNA is filed under the name uncultured bacterium. Its description in RNAcentral is "partial 16S ribosomal RNA". It matches the Rfam family "Bacterial small subunit ribosomal RNA", at positions 524 to 776 of the family's 1533-position model. The record is from RNAcentral.